UGCUGGAGGUAUCAGAAGUGCGAAUGCUGACAUAAGUAACGAUAAAGCGGGUGAAAAGCCCGCUCGCCGGAAGACCAAGGGUUCCUGUCCAACGUUAAUCGGGGCAGGGUGAGUCGACCCCUAAGGCGAGGCCGAAAGGCGUAGUCGAUGGGAAACAGGUUAAUAUUCCUGUACUUGGUGUUACUGCGAAGGGGGGACGGAGAAGGCUAUGUUAGCCGGGCGACGGUUGUCCCGGUUUAAGCAUGUAGGCUGGUUAUCCAGGCAAAUCCGGAUAAUCAAGGCUGAGGUGUGAUGACGAGGCACUACGGUGCUGAAGUAACAAAUGCCCUGCUUCCAGGAAAAGCCUCUAAGCAUCAGGUAACAUCAAAUCGUACCCCAAACCGACACAGGUGGUCAGGUAGAGAAUACCAAGGCGCUUGAGAGAACUCGGGUGAAGGAACUAGGCAAAAUGGUGCCGUAACUUCGGGAGAAGGCACGCUGGUGUGUAGGUGAAGUCCCUGCGGAUGGAGCUGAGACCAGUCGAAGAUACCAGCUGGCUGCAACUGUUUAUUAAAAACACAGCACUGUGCAAACACGAAAGUGGACGUAUACGGUGUGACGCCUGCCCGGUGCCGGAAGGUUAAUUGAUGGGGUUAUCCGUAAGGAGAAGCUCUUGAUCGAAGCCCCGGUAAACGGCGGCCGUAACUAUAACGGUCCUAAGGUAGCGAAAUUCCUUGUCGGGUAAGUUCCGACCUGCACGAAUGGCGUAAUGAUGGCCAGGCUGUCUCCACCCGAGACUCAGUGAAAUUGAACUCGCUGUGAAGAUGCAGUGUACCCGCGGCAAGACGGAAAGACCCCGUGAACCUUUACUAUAGCUUGACACUGAACAUUGAGCCUUGAUGUGUAGGAUAGGUGGGAGGCUUUGAAGCGUGGACGCCAGUCUGCGUGGAGCCAACCUUGAAAUACCACCCUUUAAUGUUUGAUGUUCUAACGUUGGCCCCUUACCGGGGUUGCGGACAGUGUCUGGUGGGUAGUUUGACUGGGGCGGUCUCCUCCCAAAGCGUAACGGAGGAGCACGAAGGUUAGCUAAUCCUGGUCGGACAUCAGGAGGUUAGUGCAAUGGCAUAAGCUAGCUUGACUGCGAGCGUGACGGCGCGAGCAGGUGCGAAAGCAGGUCAUAGUGAUCCGGUGGUUCUGAAUGGAAGGGCCAUCGCUCAACGGAUAAAAGGUACUCCGGGGAUAACAGGCUGAUACCGCCCAAGAGUUCAUAUCGACGGCGGUGUUUGGCACCUCGAUGUCGGCUCAUCACAUCCUGGGGCUGAAGUAGGUCCCAAGGGUAUGGCUGUUCGCCAUUUAAAGUGGUACGCGAGCUGGGUUUAGAACGUCGUGAGACAGUUCGGUCCCUAUCUGCCGUGGGCGCUGGAGAAUUGAGGGGGGCUGCUCCUAGUACGAGAGGACCGGAGUGGACGCAUCACUGGUGUUCGGGUUGUCAUGCCAAUGGCACUGCCCGGUAGCUAAAUGCGGAAGAGAUAAGUGCUGAAAGCAUCUAAGCACGAAACUUGCCCCGAGAUGAGUUCUCCCUGAGACUUUAAGUCUCCUGAAGGAACGUUAAAGACGAUGACGUUGAUAGGCCGGGUGUGUAAGCGCAGCGAUGCGUUGAGCUAACCGGUACUAAUGAACCGUGAGGCUUAACCUUACAACGCCGAAG
Molecule: ribosomal RNA, 1687 nt
Filed under: Klebsiella pneumoniae
Lineage: Bacteria; Pseudomonadati; Pseudomonadota; Gammaproteobacteria; Enterobacterales; Enterobacteriaceae
Description: partial 23S ribosomal RNA
Rfam family: Bacterial large subunit ribosomal RNA
Source: RNAcentral